AGAGUUUGAUUAUGGCUCAGGAUGAACGCUAGCUACAGGCUUAACACAUGCAAGUCGAGGGGCAGCAUUGGGGUAGCAAUACUCAGAUGGCGACCGGCGCACGGGUGAGUAACACGUAUCCAACCUGCCGCUUACUCGGGGAUAGCCUUUCGAAAGAAAGAUUAAUACCCGAUGGUAUAAAGAGUUCGCAUGUUCUCUUUAUUAAAGAAUUUCGGUAAGCGAUGGGGAUGCGUUCCAUUAGAUAGUUGGCGGGGUAACGGCCCACCAAGUCUACGAUGGAUAGGGGUUCUGAGAGGAAGGUCCCCCACAUUGGAACUGAGACACGGUCCAAACCCCUACGGGAGGCAGCAGUGAGGAAUAUUGGUCAAUGGACGAGAGUCUGAACCAGCCAAGUAGCGUGAAGGAUGACUGCCCUAUGGGUUGUAAACUUCUUUUAUAAGGGAAUAAAGUGAGGGACGUGUCCCUUUUUGUAUGUACCUUAUGAAUAAGGAUCGGCUAACUCCGUGCCAGCAGCAGC
This 517-nucleotide ribosomal RNA is filed under the name uncultured bacterium. RNAcentral describes it as "bacterial SSU rRNA". It matches the Rfam family "Bacterial small subunit ribosomal RNA", at positions 8 to 518 of the family's 1533-position model. The record is from RNAcentral.